RNAcentral lists this microRNA precursor (199 nucleotides) under Pelobates cultripes (western spadefoot toad). The record is from RNAcentral. Lineage: Eukaryota; Metazoa; Chordata; Amphibia; Anura; Pelobatidae.
UCUCCGGUUUUACAAAAGUUUUAUUGAAUCAAAAUAAAAACAAUGACCGACGUUUCAGUCCCAGCUCGGGACUUUCCUCAGGGUCCAACAAAACAGAAUAACCUGUUUUGUUGGACCCUGAGGAAAGUCCCGAGCUGGGACUGAAACGUCGGUCAUUGUUUUUAUUUUGAUUCAAUAAAACUUUUGUAAAACCGGAGAG